CACAAGCGGUGGAGCAUGUGGUUAAUUCGAAGCAACGCGAAGAACCUUACCAGGUCUUGACAUCCCGAUGCUAUUUCUAGAGAUAGAAAGUUACUUCGGUACAUCGGUGACAGGUGGUGCAUGGUUGUCGUCAACUCGUGCCGUGAGGUGUUGGGUUAAGUCCCGCAACGAGCGCAACCCCCGCCGUUAGUCGCCAGCGGUUCGGCCGGGCACUCUAACGGGACUGCCCGCGAAAGCGGGAGGAAGGAGGGGACGACGUCUGGUCAGCAUGGCCCUUACGGCCUGGGCGACACACGUGCUACAAUGCCCACUACAAAGCGAUGCCACCCGGCAACGGGGAGCUAAUCGCAAAAAGGUGGGCCCAGUUCGGAUUGGGGUCUGCAACCCGACCCCAUGAAGCCGGAAUCGCUAGUAAUCGCGGAUCAGCACGCCGCGGUGAAUACGUUCCCGGGCCUU
This 456-nucleotide ribosomal RNA is filed under the name uncultured Thermus sp. RNAcentral describes it as "bacterial SSU rRNA". It matches the Rfam family "Bacterial small subunit ribosomal RNA", at positions 924 to 1382 of the family's 1533-position model. The record is from RNAcentral. Lineage: Bacteria; Thermotogati; Deinococcota; Deinococci; Thermales; Thermaceae.